GAGUUUGAUCCUGGCUCAGGACGAACGCUGGCGGCGUGCCUAAUACAUGCAAGUCGAGCGAGCUGAAUUCAAGGAUCCCUUCGGGGUGACUUGUUGGACGCGAGCGGCGGAUGGGUGAGUAACACGUGGGCAACCUGCCCUAAAGACUGGGAUACCACUUGGAAACAGGUGCUAAUACCGGAUAACAACAGAAGCUGCAUGGCUUUUGUUUGAAAGGCGGCUUUAAGCUGUCACUUUAGGAUGGGCCCGCGGUGCAUUAGCUAGUUGGUAGGGUAACGGCCUACCAAGGCAAUGAUGCAUAGCCGAGUUGAGAGACUGAUCGGCCACAUUGGGACUGAGACACGGCCCAAACUCCUACGGGAGGCAGCAGUAGGGAAUCUUCCACAAUGGACGCAAGUCUGAUGGAGCAACGCCGCGUGAGUGAAGAAGGUUUUCGGAUCGUAAAGCUCUGUUGUUGGUGAAGAAGGAUAGUGGCAGCAACUGGCCAUUAUUUGACGGUAAUCA
This 504-nucleotide ribosomal RNA is filed under the name uncultured bacterium. RNAcentral describes it as "bacterial SSU rRNA". It matches the Rfam family "Bacterial small subunit ribosomal RNA", at positions 9 to 481 of the family's 1533-position model. The record is from RNAcentral.